UCAAAAACAUGUCCUUUUGUUUAUUUAAUAUAAGGUCUAACCUGCCCAAUGAUUAUAUUGAAUGGCCGCGGUAUUUUAACUGUGCUAAGGUAGCAUAAUCACUUGUCUUUUAAUUGAAGGCUAGAAUGAAUGGUUGGACGAAACAUUGACUUUCUUUGAAUUAAUUAUUGAAUUUAACUUCUCAGUCAAAAGGCUGAGAUAUAAUUGAGGGACGAGAAGACCCUAUAGAUCUUUAUAUGUAAAUAUAUUGGGUAUUAUAGCUAAAUAAAUUAUAUUGAUAUGAUGUCAUAUUUGAUUGGGGUGAUUGUAGAAUUUACAAAACUUCUAUUUUAUAAAUUUCAUGAAUGAGUGUAUGAUUGAUCCAUUAUUAUUGAUUAUAAGAUUAAGUUACCUUAGGGAUAACAGCGUAAUUUCUUUGGAGAGUUCUUAUCGAUAAAGGAGUUUGCGACCUCGAUGUUGGAUUAAAAUAAGUGUAGGGUGCAGAAGUUCUAUGACUAGGUCUGUUCGACCUUUAAUUUUUUACAUGAUCUGAG
This 533-nucleotide ribosomal RNA is filed under the name Vestula sp. 00001501. Its description in RNAcentral is "partial 16S ribosomal RNA". It matches the Rfam family "Bacterial large subunit ribosomal RNA", at positions 1807 to 2609 of the family's 2925-position model. Lineage: Eukaryota; Metazoa; Arthropoda; Insecta; Hemiptera; Reduviidae. The record is from RNAcentral.